RNAcentral lists this ribosomal RNA (252 nucleotides) under uncultured Bacteroidales bacterium. RNAcentral describes it as "partial 16S ribosomal RNA". It matches the Rfam family "Bacterial small subunit ribosomal RNA", at positions 524 to 776 of the family's 1533-position model. The record is from RNAcentral. Lineage: Bacteria; Pseudomonadati; Bacteroidota; Bacteroidia; Bacteroidales.
UACGGAGGAUUCGAGCGUUAUCCGGAUUUAUUGGGUUUAAAGGGUGCGUAGGCGGACUGUUAAGUCAGCGGUAAAAGCCCGGGGCUCAACCCCGGCGAGCCGUUGAAACUGGCUGUCUUGAGAUGUCGAGAGGUAUGCGGAAUGCGCAGUGUAGCGGUGAAAUGCUUAGAUAUCACGCAGAACCCCGAUUGCGAAGGCAGCAUACCGGCGCUCAACUGACGCUGAGGCACGAAAGUGCGGGUAUCGAACAGG